This 302-nucleotide unclassified non-coding RNA is filed under the name uncultured fungus. RNAcentral describes it as "sequence contains ITS1". The record is from RNAcentral. Lineage: Eukaryota; Fungi.
UUAACUAUUAUAUAGUACUCAGACGUCACUAAAACAAAAGAGUUUGGGUCCUCUGGCGGGCACGGUCAGCCGGAGCCGACGCCGCGAGGCGGCCCGCCAAAGCAACAAAGAAAGUAUACACGGGUGUUAGUUAUAAACCUGAAGCCGCAUUACUGCAGGCACCGCGAGAGUCAGCCAGCGUCCUUUCAGAGGCCGGAUAACCCCUCCCCCGAACUUGAGGGUGGUUAAACACGUGGUCACGAUCCUAGCCUUUCGACAGGACACAACUAUUAAUGAUCCUUCCGCAGGUUCACCUACGGAAA